This 497-nucleotide ribosomal RNA is filed under the name uncultured bacterium. Its description in RNAcentral is "partial 16S ribosomal RNA". It matches the Rfam family "Bacterial small subunit ribosomal RNA", at positions 28 to 507 of the family's 1533-position model. The record is from RNAcentral.
GAUGAACGCUGGCGGCGUGCCUAAUACAUGCAAGUCGAGCGAACGGACGAGAAGCUUGCUCCUCUGAUGUUAGCGGCGGACGGGUGAGUAACACGUGGAUAACCUACCUAUAAGACUGGGAUAACUUCGGGAAACCGUAGCUAAUACCGGAUAAUAUUUUGAACCGCAUGGUUCAAAAGUGAAAGACGGUCUUGCUGUCACUUAUAGAUGGAUCCGCGCUGCAUUAGCUAGUUGGUAAGGUAACGGCUUACCAAGGCAACGAUGCAUAGCCGACCUGAGAGGGUGAUCGGCCACACUGGAACUGAGACACGGUCCAGACUCCUACGGGAGGCAGCAGUAGGGAAUCUUCCGCAAUGGGCGAAAGCCUGACGGAGCAACGCCGCGUGAGUGAUGAAGGUCUUCGGAUCGUAAAACUCUGUUAUUAGGGAAGAACAAAUGUGUAAGUAACUAUGCACAUCUUGACGGUACCUAAUCAGAAAGCCACGGCUAACUACGUG